This 999-nucleotide ribosomal RNA is filed under the name Bacillus sp. (in: firmicutes). RNAcentral describes it as "bacterial SSU rRNA". It matches the Rfam family "Bacterial small subunit ribosomal RNA", at positions 74 to 1061 of the family's 1533-position model. Lineage: Bacteria; Bacillati; Bacillota; Bacilli; Caryophanales; Bacillaceae. The record is from RNAcentral.
GCUUGCUCCCAAGAUAGAAAGAGGAAAACGGGUGAGUAACACGUGGGUAACCUGCCUGUAAGACUGGGAUAACUCCGGGAAACCGGAGCUAAUACCGGAUAGUUCCUUGAACCGCAUGGUUCAAGGAUGAAAGACGGUUUCGGCUGUCACUUACAGAUGGACCCGCGGCGCAUUAGCUAGUUGGUGGGGUAAUGGCUCACCAAGGCGACGAUGCGUAGCCGACCUGAGAGGGUGAUCGGCCACACUGGGACUGAGACACGGCCCAGACUCCUACGGGAGGCAGCAGUAGGGAAUCUUCCGCAAUGGACGAAAGUCUGACGGAGCAACGCCGCGUGAGUGAUGAAGGUUUUCGGAUCGUAAAGCUCUGUUGUUAGGGAAGAACAAGUGCGAGAGUAACUGCUCGCACCUUGACGGUACCUAACCAGAAAGCCACGGCUAACUACGUGCCAGCAGCCGCGGUAAUACGUAGGUGGCAAGCGUUGUCCGGAAUUAUUGGGCGUAAAGGGCUCGCAGGCGGUUUCUUAAGUCUGAUGUGAAAGCCCCCGGCUCAACCGGGGAGGGUCAUUGGAAACUGGGAAACUUGAGUGCAGAAGAGGAGAGUGGAAUUCCACGUGUAGCGGUGAAAUGCGUAGAGAUGUGGAGGAACACCAGUGGCGAAGGCGACUCUCUGGUCUGUAACUGACGCUGAGGAGCGAAAGCGUGGGGAGCGAACAGGAUUAGAUACCCUGGUAGUCCACGCCGUAAACGAUGAGUGCUAAGUGUUAGGGGGUUUCCGCCCCUUAGUGCUGCAGCUAACGCAUUAAGCACUCCGCCUGGGGAGUACGGUCGCAAGACUGAAACUCAAAGGAAUUGACGGGGGGCCCGCACAAGCGGUGGAGCAUGUGGUUUAAUUCGAAGCAACGCGAAGAACCUUACAGGUCUUGACAUCCUCUGACAACCCUAGAGAUAGGCUGUCCUUUCGGGACAGAGUGACAGGUGGUGCAUGGGUGUCGUCAGCUC